RNAcentral lists this long non-coding RNA (570 nucleotides) under Mytilus galloprovincialis (Mediterranean mussel). Lineage: Eukaryota; Metazoa; Mollusca; Bivalvia; Mytilida; Mytilidae. The record is from RNAcentral.
GGGUUGGAUGACACUUGUUCAAGCGUGUGGUUGUUAAGGUUGUAAAAUCGCUGACUUUUACUUUUCAGACUAAGCAUAUAACAUUUUUUGGCGUUGAAGCGCAUACCCCAGUCGUCGGCCCAUUUUUCUAGUGAUUUCAGAUCCUCUUGUAGUUUGUUAUGGUCAUUUUGGUUUUUGAUUUCCCGGUACAGCAGACAGUCGUCUGCAAAUAGUCGGACUGAUGAGUUUACUGCCUCUGGGAGAUCAUUUAUGUGACACAGGAAGAGGAUGGGUCCUAGUACCGUUCCUUGGGGGACUCCGGAUUCAACUGAAGCAUUUCUUGAGUUUUCUCCAUCAAGUUGGACUCGCAUUUUUCUUUCGGUUAGGAAUGAAGUUAGCCAUUUGUGGAUAUUUCCUCUAAUUCCAUAUUGGUUUAUUUUGUGCAAGAGUCUAUCAUGAGGUACUGUGUCAAACGCUUUUGAAAAAUCCAGAAUCGCAAUAUCUACUUGGUUUCCUUUAUCGUAGGAUUGUAGCAUAUCAUGGAUUGUAAUGGCAAGUUGGGUCUCACAGGAGUAUCCAGAUCUAAAGCCG